This 905-nucleotide long non-coding RNA is filed under the name Homo sapiens (human). RNAcentral describes it as "non-protein coding lnc-RMDN2-11:1". The record is from RNAcentral. Lineage: Eukaryota; Metazoa; Chordata; Mammalia; Primates; Hominidae.
GCCGCGGUACCUGUGCCCUGGCCCGGGGCCAACCGGUGGCCGGGCGCGCGCGCGGGGGGGGGUCACCGUUGGACCCUCGGAGGACAAUGGGCGCCCAUUGUUACCUCCCCAGCGCCACCCCCCAGUAGGCGACUUCUCUCGGAGAAGAUGCCGCUUUCGACUCCCUAAGCACAAAGAAAGGUCGCCGGACGCUCGGUUUAAAGAGGGACCCGGAGGUGCUGCCGCCCGGGUGCACGGGGACAAUAGGACUCCGCCCGCACCCCGGACUCCCGCACUAAAACUCGUGCGCCCACCUCUCCCGAUCCCAACAGGCCGACCUAGCUGUGCGAGUGGCGGGCGGUGACCCGCAGGGAAGCGAGGCCACCUGAGUGCGCCGCCCCGGCCAGGCCGCAGCUCCCCAGGUCCCUCUCAGCCCGGGCUCCGGUGGGCGCGGAGGGGGAGGGUCGCGUUCUGUCAGUUUCUAGCUCGCUCCCCUCAGAGCUGCAGCCAAAACCCGGAGAGUGGAAUAAGCGCCCUGAAGAUGCCGGAGCUCCCGGCUGAGCAACUGGACACGCGACGAACAGCAGACGCUACAGGUUCUCCUACCCAGAGGGAGGCGUUUCUUCUCCCUCAGGGUCUUUCAAAAGGAUUUGCCUAAAGCUGGGGCAAGCCGGUGGCGGCUGCCCCAGACGCGCGACGAGGCGCAAGUGGCGCAGCUGCCGGCCCGAGAGAGUAAAAUUCAGGCCGCGGUGGCACCUGCGCCCGCCGGUCACCCGGCCACCGCCAGCGCCGCCGCCCGGCGCGCCCCUCCCCUCCGCCGGGGCCGGAGCGUGAACCGGGUUAAUGAAUGCUAAUUUUCUUAAUCGGCCUCCGUCUCUUCCUCCUCCGCGAGUCGUCGGCCUGGGGAAGGAGUAGGCGACAGGAAA